This 440-nucleotide ribosomal RNA is filed under the name uncultured bacterium. RNAcentral describes it as "partial 16S ribosomal RNA". It matches the Rfam family "Bacterial small subunit ribosomal RNA", at positions 338 to 795 of the family's 1533-position model. The record is from RNAcentral.
CCUACGGGCGGCAGCAGUGGGGAAUAUUGCACAAUGGGGGAAACCCUGAUGCAGCGACGCCGCGUGAAGGAAGAAGUAUUUCGGUAUGUAAACUUCUAUCAGCAGGGAAGAAAAUGACGGUACCUGACUAAGAAGCCCCGGCUAACUACGGGCCAGCAGCCGCGGUAAUACGUAGGGGGCAAGCGGUAUCCGGAUUUACUGGGUGUAAAGGGAGCGGUGGCGGCGAUGCAAGUCAGAAGUGAAAGCCCGGGGCUCAACUCCUGGACUGCUUUUGAAACUGUGUUGCUAGAUUGCAGGAGAGGUAAGUGGAAUUCCUAGUGUAGCGGUGAAAUGCGUAGAUAUUAGGAGGAACACCAGUGGCGAAGGCGGCUUACUGGACUGUAAAUGACGCUGAGGCUCGAAAGCGUGGGGAUCGAACAGGAUUAGAUACCCGUGUAGUC